This 400-nucleotide ribosomal RNA is filed under the name phytoplankton environmental sample. RNAcentral's name for it is "partial small subunit ribosomal RNA". It matches the Rfam family "Eukaryotic small subunit ribosomal RNA", at positions 587 to 991 of the family's 1831-position model. The record is from RNAcentral.
AGCUCCAAUAGCGUAUAUUAAAGUUGUUGCAGUUAAAAAGCUCGUAGUUGAAUUUUGGCGUUGGCUGGGUGGUCUUUGCGAACGCAUAGCACUUUUCCGGCUGACGCUUUCCUUCUGGCGAAUAAUUGUGCUAUUUAUUUAGUGCGAUUGGGAACCAGGACUUUUACUUUGAAAAAAUUAGAGUGUUUAAAGCAGGCUUACGCUUGAAUACAUUAGCAUGGAAUAAUAAAAUAGGACUUUGGUUUUAUUUUGUUGGUUUUCGAAACCAAAGUAAUGAUUAAUAGGGAUAGUUGGGGGCAUUAGUAUUGAGCCGUCAGAGGUGAAAUUCUUGGAUUGGCUCAAGACUAACUUCUGCGAAAGCAUUUGCCAAGGAUGUUUUCAUUAAUCAAGAACGAAAGUA